AGCUUCAGUAGCGUAUAUUAAAGUUGUUGCAGUUAAAAAGCUCGUAGUCGCAUUUCUGGCGAGAGGACCCGGUCCGACCUUUUGGUGGGUUCUUGGGUCUUUUUCGCCAUCCUUGAGUGGUCCGUUCUGGCAUUAGGUUGUCGGAGCGUCAGCCGCUCAUCGUUUACUGUGAGAAAAUUAGAGUGUUCAAAGCAGGCUUAUGCCGUUGAAUAUAUUAGCAUGGAAUAAUAAGAUAGGACCUCGGUACUAUUUUGUUGGUUUGCGCACCAAGGUAAUGAUGAACAGGGACAGUUGGGGGUAUUUGUAUUUCGUUGUCAGAGGUGAAAUUCUUAGAUUUACGAAAGACAAACUACUGCGAAAGCAUUUACCAAGGAUGUUUUCA
This 382-nucleotide ribosomal RNA is filed under the name uncultured marine Chaetocerotaceae. Its description in RNAcentral is "SSU rRNA". It matches the Rfam family "Eukaryotic small subunit ribosomal RNA", at positions 587 to 972 of the family's 1831-position model. The record is from RNAcentral. Lineage: Eukaryota; Bacillariophyta; Thalassiosirophyceae; Chaetocerotales; Chaetocerotaceae.